RNAcentral lists this long non-coding RNA (1812 nucleotides) under Lonchura striata (white-rumped munia). RNAcentral's name for it is "domestica (Bengalese finch) lncRNA (ENSLSDG00000015005.1)". Lineage: Eukaryota; Metazoa; Chordata; Aves; Passeriformes; Estrildidae. The record is from RNAcentral.
GGCAGGGAACACCUUGAGGAACGAGUCUUCAAAGUCCUUCUUGUGUUACUUUUCUGUCCCUUUUUCCUGGCCACAGAUCCACCAGAACCUUUCCUCUCCAGAAAAAGCCAUGGGAAAGAAAGAAGUUGAGAAUCAUGGACCAAGCCCAACCAGUGCUCAGGAAUGCAGGAGGUGAGGAAGGAGAAGAGGGAUGGGAAUGCAGCACUGCUCUAAUGGCUCCAGGGUCAGCACAAGCUCUACUGCACUUCUGGAAUGGGAAGAGGGAUCCUGCAGAAUGGGUCAGAUUGGAGGGAAUACAGUGGGUCACUGGUGCCACCUCCCUGCUUCAGCAGGGCCAGCACAGGGCACAGGAUUAUGUCCACACAGCUCUGGAGUAUCCCCAGAGAGGAGACUCCACAGCCUCUCUGGUCUCUACUCAGGGUUGGGCACUGCACCGAGAAGUUCUGCCUCCUGUGCAGGGGAAGCUCCUGGGCUCAGGCCCUGCCCGUGGCUCUGGUGCCAUGGCUGUGCCUGGAGCACAGUUUGGGCCCUGCUCUGUCCUCCUGCACACAGGGACAGCCAGGCCUGAGGGCCCCUCUCAGCUGUGUCUCAACUCAAGGCUGAACAGCCCCAGCUGCCUCAGCCUCUCCUCAUCAGGGAGGUGCUCCAAGCCCUUAUUCAGCUCCACAGCCUCUGCUGACUCCGCUCCAGGAGCUCCCUGUCCCUGCUGUGCUAAGGAGCCCAAGAGCUGGACACAGCACUCCAGAGGUACCUUCCAGGACUGGGCAGAGAGGCAGGAUCACUGCCUGACCUGCUGGGAAUGCUCUUCCUGAUUGUCCCCAGGAUCCAAUUGACUCUUUGUACCCAGGUCACUCUGCUGGGCAGGGACACCUUGUUGUCCCCAAGUCCUUCUCCACAGAACUGUUCCAGCAGGUCCACCCCAUCCUGUGGUGGUUGUUUCUCCCCAGGUGCAGGACCUGCAUUUCCCUGUUCUCUACUUCUAGACAGUUCUUCUCUGCCCUUCAAACUGUUGAGGUCCUUAGUUCCCAAUGUUUUCCUUCCAUUUUGCUCUGGCUCAUUCCUCUCUCCACAAUCCAAUACUGAGUGCUUAAUCCAACAUUAGGCCCUGAUUCCCAGCUCUAUGGAGUCAGCACCUCUUCCUGGUGCCAGGGAAUUGCUUGCAUUGUUUGCAGAUUUGGAUGAAUGUCUGAGUGACUUCUAUGUGGAAAAAGGGAUUUUGGUGAUUACUGGAUUUCCAGGCAGGGAAUCUUCUGGAGAUAAGAGGAUGAAAUGCUGCCAAACAUCCUGGGAAAUCUAGUUUUGCACGCAGAAUACAAAAGCUCAACAUUUGUAAGGACUAUGAACAGCAUUUCCACGGAAGGAUAUGAGGUGGUGGCAACUGGAACCUUCUCUCUGGAAAAGCAUGGAAGAGGAUGACACCUGGAAGACAAUGCCAGUUGAGGGAAUCUCCUGCAUUUCCCACUGCUAAUCCCCAGUUUAAAAUUGCUAUUUAGAGCAGAGGGAACCAUUAAUUUCCAGCACUCCUGAAUGGACUUUCAAAUCCAGGAUUUUGACAACUGAACCUUCAAAAACCUGGGAUUGGGUCAAUUCACUGAGAGCCUCUCCCUGAGCAGAAUUCCUGCUAUAAAAAUGUUCACUUUUCCUGGUCUGUUAUUACUAUUCCUGCUCUUGAACUUCUCUGGAAAAGCAGUUUUCCACCUAGGAAGGUGUCUUAGGUUAAAAGAUGUGGCUGGGGGUGUGUAUUCUAUCACCAUCUGUUAGAGAUGGGGCAGUUAUCUUCUGUUCAUUGGGCAGUUUUCUUUAUCUUUUCUA